This 463-nucleotide ribosomal RNA is filed under the name uncultured bacterium. Its description in RNAcentral is "partial 16S ribosomal RNA". It matches the Rfam family "Bacterial small subunit ribosomal RNA", at positions 28 to 507 of the family's 1533-position model. The record is from RNAcentral.
GACGAACGCUGGCGGCGUGCUUAACACAUGCAAGUCGAACGGAAAGGCCUUUUCGGAGGUACUCGAGUGGCGAACGGGUGAGUAACACGUGGGUGAUCUGCCCUGCACUCUGGGAUAAGCCUGGGAAACUGGGUCUAAUACCGGAUAGGACCGCACUUUAGUGUGUGUGGUGGAAAGUUUUUUCGGUGUAGGAUGAGCCCGCGGCCUAUCAGCUUGUUGGUGGGGUAAUGGCCUACCAAGGCGGCGACGGGGAGCCGGACUGAGAGGUUGGUCGGCCACAUUGGGACUGAGGUACGGCCCAGACUCCUACGGGAGGCAGCAGUGGGGAAUAUUGCACAAUGGGCGCAAGCCUGAUGCAGCGACGCCGCGUGGGGGAUGACGGCCUUCGGGUUGUAAACUCCUUUCGCCAGGGACGAAGCGUUUUGUGACGGUACCUGGAGAAGAAGCACCGGCUAACUACAUG